AAAAAAGCUUCAAUAGAAGCUACAACGAGUCACUAACAAAAUGAGU
Molecule: non-coding RNA, 46 nt
Organism: Acyrthosiphon pisum (pea aphid)
Lineage: Eukaryota; Metazoa; Arthropoda; Insecta; Hemiptera; Aphididae
Source: Rfam